Molecule: ribosomal RNA, 464 nt
Filed under: Vreelandella stevensii
Lineage: Bacteria; Pseudomonadati; Pseudomonadota; Gammaproteobacteria; Oceanospirillales; Halomonadaceae
Description: partial 16S ribosomal RNA
Rfam family: Bacterial small subunit ribosomal RNA
Source: RNAcentral
CCUACGGGUGGCUGCAGUGGGGAAUAUUGGACAAUGGGCGAAAGCCUGAUCCAGCCAUGCCGCGUGUGUGAAGAAGGCCUUCGGGUUGUAAAGCACUUUCAGUGGGGAAGAAAGCCUUGGGGCUAAUACCCUCGAGGAAGGACAUCACCCACAGAAGAAGCACCGGCUAACUCCGUGCCAGCAGCCGCGGUAAUACGGAGGGUGCGAGCGUUAAUCGGAAUUACUGGGCGUAAAGCGCGCGUAGGCGGUCUGAUAAGCCGGUUGUGAAAGCCCCGGGCUCAACCUGGGAACGGCAUCCGGAACUGUCAGGCUAGAGUGCAGGAGAGGAAGGUAGAAUUCCCGGUGUAGCGGUGAAAUGCGUAGAGAUCGGGAGGAAUACCAGUGGCGAAGGCGGCCUUCUGGACUGACACUGACGCUGAGGUGCGAAAGCGUGGGUAGCAAACAGGAUUAGAUCCCCGGUAAUC